Molecule: non-coding RNA, 51 nt
Filed under: unclassified sequences
Source: RNAcentral
UGCUCACAUAAAUUAGCCUUCACGUGGCGUGAGUGUUUAAACUGAUAAUUU